This 27-nucleotide non-coding RNA is filed under the name Gallus gallus (chicken). Lineage: Eukaryota; Metazoa; Chordata; Aves; Galliformes; Phasianidae. The record is from RNAcentral. RNAcentral also lists the same sequence under 4 other names.
GAGGAGGAGGAGGAGGAGGAGGAGGAG